CAGCAGCCGCGGUAAUACAGAGGGUGCGAGCGUUAAUCGGAUUUACUGGGCGUAAAGCGUGCGUAGGCGGCUUUUUAAGUCGGAUGUGAAAUCCCUGAGCUUAACUUAGGAAUUGCAUUCGAUACUGGGAAGCUAGAGUAUGGGAGAGGAUGGUAGAAUUCCAGGUGUAGCGGUGAAAUGCGUAGAGAUCUGGAGGAAUACCGAUGGCGAAGGCAGCCAUCUGGCCUAAUACUGACGCUAAGGUACGAAAGCAUGGGGAGCAAACAGGAUUAGAUACCCCAGUAGUCCCUGUCUCUUAUAC
RNAcentral lists this ribosomal RNA (301 nucleotides) under uncultured bacterium. RNAcentral's name for it is "partial 16S ribosomal RNA". It matches the Rfam family "Bacterial small subunit ribosomal RNA", at positions 509 to 807 of the family's 1533-position model. The record is from RNAcentral.